GACUGUUAACUCUUCUGACUUGAUUCAAUUUAUGAUUUAUCUUCUCAACAUUAUGAACUCCUAAUAAACGGCGAAUCUCUUGUAAUUGUCGCAUAAUUUCUGUUAUAAAAUUUUGAUACUCUUUAAUUGCUCUCCAAACAGCUGGUAACUUUUGAUCACCGUCACGAGGUUGAUUAUCACCACCACCACCAGUAUCGGCCAUUGUAAUGAGGGUGAAAUUUCUGCUUUGAUACUACCUGACGCAGCGUGUAGCGUGAAAAAAGAUUGACAUACGAUCAAACCCUUGAAAGUAAAUAAGAUCUAAUCCAAGAUCU
RNAcentral lists this unclassified non-coding RNA (314 nucleotides) under Hevea brasiliensis (rubber tree). The record is from RNAcentral. Lineage: Eukaryota; Viridiplantae; Streptophyta; Magnoliopsida; Malpighiales; Euphorbiaceae.